Molecule: long non-coding RNA, 217 nt
Filed under: Lathyrus oleraceus (garden pea)
Lineage: Eukaryota; Viridiplantae; Streptophyta; Magnoliopsida; Fabales; Fabaceae
Description: Pisum sativum (pea) long non-coding RNA (PSAT_LNC040700)
Source: RNAcentral
AAAACCAAAAAAGUACCUGCUACCUUUGCAUAUACCCAAUCAUAUAUCGGAGAAUUCGACUGACCUCAAAGAUUUAAAUGCUUCAGCACCUCAGCGCCGCUAGGCUCACAACCUACAAUCUAGUGAUAAGUGUAACACCUCAAAAUUUGCCCUCUUCUCUUGGGACUAGCAUAACAUAUUUGCAUAUCAUUUUAGGUCAUUAGGCAUUGCAUAUUGC